Molecule: long non-coding RNA, 2798 nt
Organism: Homo sapiens (human)
Lineage: Eukaryota; Metazoa; Chordata; Mammalia; Primates; Hominidae
Source: Ensembl
GGUCAAUCGGCUGCCAGCCGGAUUGGCCGGCGUAUCAUUCCAGAAUGUACUGUUUGUUCUGUGGGGUUUAGGAGUUCUACAGUGGUUCUGCCCCAUCUUUCUAAAAAUACAAUACAGUGUUUCACUAUGUUACCCAGGCUGGUCUUGAACUCCUGGGCUCAAGUGAUCCUCCCACUUUGGCCUCUCAAAGCACUGGGAUUACAGGGUCUUACUCUGUCGCCCAGGCUGGAGUACAGUGGUGUGAUAUCGGCUCACUGCAACCUCUACCUACCUGGUUCAAGUGAUUCUCCUGCCUCAGCCUCCCGAGUAGCUGGGACUACGGACUUGCCAAAGAAGCUGCUUAUUUCACAGAAGGAUGGUGCUGGCUGAAAGAUACUUCCUUGAAACUGAGAGAUUGCUUCCUUAGACAGGUCUCCUUGAAGAGAAUCCCACUCUGUCAGCCCGGCUGGAGUGCAAUGGCGCAGUCUUGGCUCGCUGCAACAUCUACCUCCCAGGUUCAAGUGAUUCUCCUGCCUCAGCCUCCCAAGUAGCUAGGAUUACAGGCUUGCACCACCACACCUGGCUAACUUUUUGUGUUUUUAGUAGAGACGGGCUUUCCCUAUGUUGGCCAGACUGGUCUCAAACUACUGGCCUCAAGUGAUUUACCCACCUUGGCCUCCCAAAUUUCUGGGAUUACAGGCAUGAGCCACCGAGCGCAGUCCUGACUCUGCUCUUGGGAUACCUGAGAGUACUGUGUUAUAUGAAUAUCUGAUCUACCUAUGGAUUCAGCCGACCUAAAGUUGUUGAAUUCUUAAGCCACCACCCCCUUCUCACCAGGCGCUUCUUGCCGCUGCCAUGAGAAGAAGGAUGUUUGCUUCCCCCUCUGCCAUGAUUGUUAAGUUUCCUGAGGCCUCCUGAGCCAUGCUGAACUGUUUCAUUUCAACCCCAUGUUUUGGGAACUGUUUGGAACAGACUAAUCAGCUCUAAAUUCUGGAAUCUUCCACCUUCUUUAUCUUCAAAGGGAUGGUUACAUAUUCUGGCUAAGUUCUGUAUCAAGGAAACUCACAAGCUUCUGAGAAUAGAGACUUGACUUUCCAGAGUGGAACUUUGUAGAAAGAAGCUUGAUAUGGUAAUUGAAGGGCAAUGCUCCUAAAGAUAUGAACUAUUUGGGAGGCCAUUACAUUAAUGCCUUCAGCUUUCCGCACAGCCCAUAUUGCUUUGGUGGACGCUUUGAAAUGUCUGGUCGUUAUAACUCAGUCACUCAAGACACCUCACUUAAAAAUUCUAGUUAUGGAAUAAUUGUGAUGCCAUAGGAAGAAAAUUAAGCAAGCUGUCUACUCUUGGGAAAUGUUAACAAAUGCCUGUGCAUACUGUGAAGAGUCCACGGGGAAGAAAAUGAGCCACACAAGAUGGUCCCACCUAUAUUUAUUAUACACUGAUCACUAUGAAGACAUAAAGAUUUGUUAAAAGUGGCCUUUGAAGAGCAUGUAAUUGUGUCCAGAAUUGGCGGGUUCUUGGUCUCACUGACUUCAAGAAUGAAGCCGCAGACCCUCACGGCUAAGACAUCCAAGGUCAAAGGGCCUACAUCUGGUGAAGGUCUUGCUGCUUUAUCCCAUGGUGGAAGGCAGAUGGGUUCACAGAAAAUAGAAAUUCUUUACACAGUCUUCUGAUCAAUAGAAUCAAAGCCCUUUUUCUGUAAAUACUGGCUAGAGAGUUGCUAACUUCCAUAAUGGAGAAAUGGAAAAAGCAGUUUCUUUCUCCAAUAAAACCACAAAAGCCAUGGUUUUAAAAGAAACUAUAGAGGAUUUCUUGUGUGGAGUCCUUAGCUUUGUGACUGCUGAGAUUUAAGACAUAGGAAAUCAUGACUUCCUCGUGGCAGCCUCAUGAUUCUGAGAUCACAGCACGUGCAUUUGGUACAGCCAGCAGAGGUGGUGGUGUCUUCUCGAAUUCCUGACCUUCUUUCCAUGGCAGAAGAAGCAACCCUUUUGCUAACUGAGAUAUUGCAUUGUUUACAAAUUGAAGAUGUGUGGUGACCCCGCGACAAGCAAGUCUACCAAAGCCACUUUUCAGCAGCAUCUUCUCACUUCCUGUCUCUGUUUCAAUUAUGAGAACAGAUGUAGAGAUUAGAAUCGGCAAAGGGAAAAGGCCCAUGGGAUGAAGGCCAGAAGAAAUCAAGCUACAAGUUUUUCUCUCCAGUGGAGUCCCAUGAGGAUGCACACAACUCUCCCAGCAGCAAUGUGGGACAACACAUGCAAAGUAUUGGCCAUCAGGGAAGCUCCCCCCAGCUUUGGUCACCAGGGUUUUUUAUUGGUUGUCAGUCAUGCACACAUUCAGUGCUUCUGUGACUGACCUCACCCACCAGACUGUAACCUCAAGAGCAAAAUCAGGUAUUCACCAUAAAUCAGACUGUUAGGAUAAACUUAUAUGCUCAAAUUGCCAUAGCAUGGCCCAAGGCCUCAGGCUUAUGGAAAUAUUAUCAGGCAGGGUAUUCCAGGAGCUCAGAAAUUGUCUCCAGGAGACGAAUGGGACAGGGAAGGUAGGAGGUUGUAGCAACUUGCUAAAAUGGGAGACAUUUCACAAGAAAAAAUCAGUUGUAGAAAAUCCUCAUUCAUCAAAGGGUCACUGUAUUCUUGGGCAUAAAACCUUGACUGCACAUAUUUCCAGCUGUGCUUACAUUAAAAAUUCCCAAAGGGAUUUGUUGGAAGUAAGAAGAGAAAAAUGAUCAGUCUAAAUCUACAGAGUGACUGCAGAGGCAUGGAUUAGUACAUGUGAAUACUGAAUAUGCAAAUCAAUAAAGAAAACACAUUUAUUCUUGAGGC